Molecule: unclassified non-coding RNA, 219 nt
Filed under: Hevea brasiliensis (rubber tree)
Lineage: Eukaryota; Viridiplantae; Streptophyta; Magnoliopsida; Malpighiales; Euphorbiaceae
Source: RNAcentral
AAUGCAGCUUCACGUAGAGCUUGGGCAACACGUACGAGUCGAACACGCUGGCCUCUGAGAUGUCCCUCACUGCGGCGGCCUCCACAAUAUUCCUGAUGACGAACUUCUUGAUGGCUUUGUCCUUGGGGACGCAGCGGGCGCAGUUGGUGCAGCGGAUGGGCUGGACGUGGCCGCGGCCCUUCUUGGCCCGACCGUUGUUCCUCCUCUUCUUCGUCAUCG